This 460-nucleotide ribosomal RNA is filed under the name uncultured bacterium. RNAcentral describes it as "partial 16S ribosomal RNA". It matches the Rfam family "Bacterial small subunit ribosomal RNA", at positions 338 to 795 of the family's 1533-position model. The record is from RNAcentral.
CCUACGGGUGACUGCAGUGAGGAAUAUUGGUCAAUGGACGAGAGUCUGAACCAGCCAAGUAGCGUGAAGGAUGACUGCCCUAUGGGUUGUAAACUUCUUUUAUAAGGGAAUAAAAUGUGGCACGUGUGGGAUUUUGUAUGUACCAUAUGAAUAAGGAUAGGCUAACUCCGUGCCAGCAGCCGCGGUAAUACGGAGGAUCCGAGCGUUAUUCGGAUUUAUUGGGUUUAAAGGGAGCGUAGGUGGAUUGUUAAGUCAGUUGUGAAAGUUUGCGGCUCAACCGUAAAAUUGCAGUUGAAACUGGCAGUCUUGAGUACAGUUGAGGUUGGCGGAAUUCGUGGUGUAGCGGUGAAAUGCUUAGAUAUCACGAAGAACUCCGAUUGCGAAGGCAGUUCACUGGACUGCCACUGACACUGAUGCUCGAAAGUGUGGGUAUCAAACAGGAUUAGAUACCCCUGUAGUC